GCAUGUCCUAAUUCACAGGUACCAAAUAUAAGGCAACACAUUGGCCUUUGGCAGCAAAGUAUUAUCAUAUUUCAAUAAUACCCAAAUAGCCCUUUACUGGACCGCCGUCCCGGCCACUUACGCAAACCCCAUCCAUAAAAUGUUUUUCUUAGGGAGUUGAAUCACUCAACUCUCUCGAUCAACAAACUCGCCAUUUCACAUGGUCCGGAGUAAUCUUAGCAAUUGAUGGCAGCAUAACUAGAAUAAUUAGUUAUAUGCUUAUUACGAACUCAAAUUUAUAUUGUAUGGAGUAUAUCUGGAUAGAAUAGCUUCUCACUAUCUAUCUUGAAAGUAAUUCGAGGAUUCUAGUAGAAUGAUUACUAGAAUGUGGUGAAUUCAAUCAUUGGAAUGUAUUGAAUUCAAUCAUUAUUUGAGUAUCUGUAUGGUGUAUGGAAUACCGAACAAUAAUU
RNAcentral lists this long non-coding RNA (449 nucleotides) under Daucus carota (carrot). RNAcentral's name for it is "long non-coding RNA (DCAR_LNC006610)". Lineage: Eukaryota; Viridiplantae; Streptophyta; Magnoliopsida; Apiales; Apiaceae. The record is from RNAcentral.